This 200-nucleotide long non-coding RNA is filed under the name Lathyrus oleraceus (garden pea). RNAcentral's name for it is "Pisum sativum (pea) long non-coding RNA (PSAT_LNC004468)". The record is from RNAcentral. Lineage: Eukaryota; Viridiplantae; Streptophyta; Magnoliopsida; Fabales; Fabaceae.
AAAAUCAAUAAAAAAAGUGUGUUAAAAUGGACCAUUUAGAAUAAAUAAUUAAAAUAAAAUAUUAAUAUUAAAAAAUACGAAAAUAAAAAUUAUAUAAAAUUAAAUAAAACUUUAAGAAAAGUGAAAAAUAUUUUUGGGUAAUUUUAUGGACGAAGAAAAUAUUUUAAAUAAGAAAAAGAAAUAUGAAAACGGAAGGAUUA